Molecule: long non-coding RNA, 5732 nt
Organism: Gallus gallus (chicken)
Lineage: Eukaryota; Metazoa; Chordata; Aves; Galliformes; Phasianidae
Exons: 3
Source: RefSeq, a predicted model, not a curated record
GCCACGUGCAACAGUACAGUGUCUUUGGACAGCAUUAAAUACUUACCUCUCAAGCAGAUGGCCACAUCGUUCAUAGGACCCAGCUUGUCACAGAACAAGGAUAGAAGGAACUAAGAUACUGAUAUUUUCCCUCUGUAUUAUUGCAGUUCAGCAACAUCAAGGAAGAGAACUGUGGGGAAAAAAUGAGAAACAUGAAAGAGAGAGAAGAGCUUUCAUCCUCAGAACAAGAAACAGACUCAGGAAACUCCCAAGGCUAACUAAAACUGAAAUGAAGAACUGUUUUCAGACUUCUAAUCAAAAAAAAAGGAAGCAUUUACUUCACAAGGUUGAAACUUUUGUUCUUAAGUUAGGCUACUGUUUAAAGUUAAUUAACAAGAUAAUGGUAGGUCAAUAUUAAGUAAGGAAUUCAUGUAAAUGGGAAUUCCCUAGCAGUGGGUACUCGUGUGUGAUCCCAAGUAAUCUGCAAAAAUGCUUUUCAGUGUUGGGUUUUUAUAUGCUAGGGAAAAGAGGAGAAGCUUCCAAAGCUGUUUCAAGAAGAGCAGACAGUAAGGAGGUAGACCACAAUGUUGUACUUUUUCACAGUGGAUAUGUGUGUGUUCUAAAACCUAUAAAGCAGAAAAGUCAAGUGAAGGCAGAUUUGCCUCCUCUGGAAACCCUUCCAGAGAAACUGGUGGCUUUCAGCAUAUUGCAAACAGAGCUUGAGCAGGCUUUAGGGUAAAAGUAGACACCUUUAUUAACUUUGUAAUGUGCAGUUAAUUUCUCUAAUCCUUAUUGCCGUUGCUGGUGAAGUAGAUCCUGUACGGAAGUUUUUGUAACCUGCUACAAGAAUGCAGCAAAAGAAGUAAGGUGACACAGGUGAAAUUCUGUCCAAAGUAUAUUUGGAGUACUAAACAACCAACUGUAUGCAUUGCGAAAUGUUAUUUACUUUCUUCUCAGCACAAUGCAGUUUAACUACAGUACAAUGUUAAUAAUAGGCCUCAAAACAUUGAUAAUGUAAGGUGAUUACUGGCCACACUCUCCUGAUAUUUGAUCAGUGAUCUAAAAACUAGGUUUCUCCACUUAAAGCAAAAUAUUUGAAAUAUUCACUUCCAGUUCCAUUGUGAAUAUAGGACAAAAAAUGUUGAAGAAGUUAUAGCAGUGACUUGACAGUAAAAAAAAAAUUCUGUAAAAUUGUGUUUUGCCGAGAUAUGAAUCCAAGUAAAGAUCAUAGAUUUCUUAUGCAGUGUACAGAAAAUGCUGCACACAUUUUUAAAGUUUGUUUUAGAACAGUAGGUUAACAGUGUACAUACCCAGCCCUUCACCCAGUCAAAAUCAAAACACCUGGAACAUUUGAUGCUCAUGGUGUGGACAAGUCUGCUAUUAAAAAUAAUGCAUUUACAGCUGAGAGAAUAGUAAAAUAAUAAUAAUAAUAAUAAUAAAAUCAGUGAAAAAUAAAAAGGAAGAAAGACUAAGUAGAUAAAAUAGAAUAAAAUAAAAAAAAAAACUAACUUUUAUACAGGACAAUGAAUUAAUUAAGGGAUUCAGACCUGGGAGAUUAUCAAUGGAGUGAAAGCAGUUCACAUGUUCUUAGGUACUAAGAUUUUACACAGUGUAGGUGUUAAAAUGAGAACUGUUGAUUAGCUAAUUGACAUCUUUGAUUUUGGAUACAAAUAUUUGAAAAUCUGUUUCUAUACACUGGCCAGAAUCCUCUUGCAAAUUGAGCUGAAAAUGCAACUCCAAACUUUUACAACUCCCUCUCAUUCUGUUUUCAUUCAGGUUCUUAAUAUCAUCUUUUCCAAAGGCAGUUUGCAUUAGCUUUAAAAGUUACCAGUGUAAUUAUUUUAGUUUACAGUUAUACUUGUUUGUUGUUGUACUUAAAGGAAAACAAGGAUGACCGAAUGGAUGUAAUUUCUUUUCCAUUUGCCAGAGCAGAAAAAUAGAGCGCUGCCUUAAUGUCAGAGGUACAAGGAUCAAAGCAAUAAUUCAUCCCUGAUAUAGCUUUCCAGAAGUCAAACGAAUUGCAUCAGAGAUAAAUCUGGCCAAUUACUAUUUCAAGGAAAGAUGGGGUAAUUUGAUUAAAGAGCUAUCCAACACCCCAAAAGUGAUUAAUUACUGAAAAAGUACUAAUCUUAAAAGCAUUGCUUCCAAUAGGUCAUGGAAUAUGUAGAAAGUAUUACUAAUGACCUCUUAAGCUUUUACUUUUAGCUACUUCAAAAUACCAUGUAAUUUCUCUCACUUAUCUUUUCAGUUCCUGCCGGUAUGAAUAAGUGGUGAUUCUUUUUCCUGACCUUGAUCUUCUGUUGGCAUUCAUGAAACACCUAUCAUAUAAUAAGGAAUUCAUUUGCACUUGUAAUGCUGAUUUAUAGUCAUUAGUUUUUUUGCUGUCAGUGUGUUCUUAAACAUGUUAAUUGGAAUGGGGAAAAAAAAAAAGGUGAUCUGGGGAAACUCUAUCAGUAAACGCUAUAAUUGAGUAGAACGUUUUAUUUGUUUUCGGAGCGUAGAUAUCUACUCUCAGUUUCAUAACAAUUUAUUCAACUGUGCUAUAAUAUUAGGCAUUCACAGAAGAAGUGACAGCAUUUCAUCUUAAAAUAUAUCUGUGGUCUUUUUCCCAACAUACAAAGAAGUUAUAUGGCAUUACUCCAGCAGGCUUCUUCUUGUCUGUUUAUUCCACACUUCCGUACUGUUAAAAUAGAAGUAGUAAAGCUAGCUGUCUUCCCGCAGGUACAGAUAAUGUUUCAUAAGCAUCAUUUCCAUAGGGAAAGAUCUUGUCAUAGAAAGUGCUGUGCUGAGAUGUGUUUUUAUUUAUACUUUGGCUUUUUUGUCUCAUUCUAAUUUAAAAUGUUCUGUUAGUAUAAAAGUUUUUCCCAGGACCAAGUGCUGCCGGGGUUCGUUUGAGUAAUUUGCAAUUUUGUCCUGGCUUCCAGUGCGAUAAAGUGUAAAUGUGUCUGCUUUUCUCAGCUAAAAAGAACAGAUAAGUCUACUUGACUAUUACUGCACUAAUUAUAUGAAGGUUUGUCUUCAAAAUCUGUUUCAUGUUUAUUCAAGGCUAGAAUCUGAUACCUAACUUCAUGUUCAAGAGUAUUUUAUUCCCAGAUAAGUAAACUGAAUGGUGUAAAGUACAAAUGCAUUCCUCUUCACAUCUACAAAUUAUGUUUUAAAGUUUUUUUUUCAUUAUAGCAGGUACAAAACCCAACUUUUAGCACAUUAUGCCUAUAUACAGCUUGUAUAAGUUAUCCGUUUAAAUAUCUUCUGAGAAGCUAAGGCAAUAUAGGUGAGUAGCUCUCCCAUCCUAUCAUUUAAUGCACAUCUCUAGGACUUUUCAGUCAUAUUUUCAAGUUCAGAAGUAGAUCUGAAGACUCCCUUGCUUUCUCAAAUUCUUCAUUAUUUCUGUCUUAUUUUUAUCAGUUUUCUCUAGCUCUUUCUGAGUCAUCUCUUUGGCAGAGAAAGUUUUAUAAGAUCAUUGAGGGACAGACUGCUCUCUCAUAGGUUAGUUUGGUAGGCUGUUAAAAAGGUGGGUUUUUUUUAAAAAAAAAAAGCUUUGCAAACAGUGGGUGUGGGUGGGUGAAGAAGUCAUGAAAGACAGAGGGAGUUCAGAAAGUAGGGCAGUUCAGGAGCUCAGAAAGUAGAAAAUGGUGGAGAAGGAGGAGGAAGUAGAACAGAGUAAAGCUGAAACAAGUAUAAGGACUAGACUGAUAAAAAUGAUGCAAAGGUAGUGAGUAAGGAAGAGAGGAAAAUCUUAAGUUAGAUGGCAUGUAGUAUGCCUUGAGUGUCUGGUUAGUCCUGCAUAUUCACAUCUACAGCUGUGCUAUCGAUCUUAUCAUAUCUUAAACCAGCUUCAAUUCUGUAGCAGCAUUUAUCUACUCUCAUUAAAAAACAGGUCCAAAAUCACAGUGUCCACCACCGACCUUUUGCUGAAACUGUAAGUUAACAAAGAAGACAUGUCAGCAUUGCCUUCCCCCGAUGUCAUAAAUGUAUGAUUAUCUUUCCACCAAUAAAUAUCUUCAGUUGUGGAACACCAUGCAGAUGUGUUGUUAUUAAGUGUAUCUGAUAUUAGUUCCUGGCCUUUUUGUUCAACUGGUGCUGUUUUUGAAGGGAGAUUUUGUGGUGAUUACAUGAUAGGACAGUGAGCUAGAUUUCCUGAGAUUUCCAUCAGACUGUGGAGCAGUUAUUAAGAGACUGUAAUCUGAAGCAUUAACAGCCCAGAAAUACAGAGGUAACAAUCUUUGUCUUAAAAGCCCACUGAGAGUUGCAGUUCAUGCAAUGUUCUUUGUCUCUUUCAUCAUCCUUUUAUAUGCAGGGAGUGCAGGUUGCUAAAUUUUCAGAGCCUUUUGUGUCGAUCUCUUCCUCCAAAAGGCCUUAAUUAAAGCUCUGUGGAAGUAAUGUGAUUCAGGUAAACUUUUAUUCUACCUUUAAGAAUUCCUCCAUAUUUUGCAGGAUUUGAUUUAAGCCAUCUAACCAUGUUCACAUGCUUCAGUAUUUAGUUGAAUUGCGUGCAGACUUCACCUGGCUUGGAGAAGUUUUAACCAAUUAAUUAUAUUCAGAUAUAUAUUCAGAUUAUAUUCAGCAGUGCCUGAAGGGCAGAAUAUCCCUUAAGAGAAUCAAGUGUCCAAAGUUUAUUUUUCUAAUGCAUAUUUUCUAAGUAGGAAGCUUUCUAUCUUGCGAAAUUGCAAAACCUUUUUGCUCCCUAAUCUGGUAUCAUUUUUGUCAGAAGUAUGCUUAGUAAUAAAGUAGAGGCAGGCAGCUCAGCACCACACAGCUGUUCACUUACUCCCCUUUCCCAGAGGAUGGAGAAGAGAGUUGGUUAAAAAAAGAAAAGGAAAAAAAAAAAAAAAAAAAAACAUGGAGAUAAAAAUAAAUACUAGGACAGAAAAGGAAGAGAAAAGGAACAUAAUAGUAAUUAUAAUAUAGUACAUAUGUAGAAAAUAAGCAAUGCAAUUGAGUAGCAACUGCUUGCACAGCCAACUCCCUGUGACUUUAUAGUUUUCAUAUUGUGUCGUAUAGUAUGGGACAGUCCUUUAGCAAGUUUAGGUCAGCUGUCCUGGUUCUGUCCACUUCCAGCUCCUUAUGCUCCCCUAGCCCCCGUGCUGGCAAAACAGUACAAGAAGCUGAGAAGCUGAAACAUGCUUGACCCAGUGCAGCACUGCUGCAACAACUAAACCAUUGGUAUGUUACCAACAUUGUUUUUCUUCUAAAGUCAAAAAGUAGCAUCAUGCAUCAUGCCAGAUGCUAUGAAGAAAAAAAUCAACUCUAUCCCAGCUGAAACCAGGACAAAUAAGAACAGCUUGAGGUAAGAUUCACCUAGCCAUUUAGCUGUUUGAUACAUGGAAGAGUGCAAAUCUGAACAUAUGAAGCAGUAGGUUAGGGUCCACAAUCUCAUUUCUGAAUUUAAUGUCCACGGUGUAAAGGUGCAAGUUCAGUAACUUCCAGUUUAUUAUGUUGUAUUUUACAGUUACUGAUGCUAAACAUAUAGGUCUAAUGGUUGUAUGCUUGAAUGACUUUUGAAAUACUAAUACCAACAAAAAAUAAGGCCACCCUGUAUAGAUUUUAUGUAGUUCUGAGGCAGUGCAUCACUCAUUCUGGUACAAGUCAUUUGAAUAUAUAUAGAAAAACAAAGUCCUGAGAGACUUUUAUAUUAAAAAAAUAUUUUUAAAUUUGAGACUUCAGACAUGUGCUGCAUGAGCCAAGUUUAAGGGUGAUUUACUGUUCUUUCAGAACAUGCUUAUCAGUUCAUAAAUUUAUGGUACAACAGCUUU